CCCUAGUUUGGUUAGAUGUUAUUUCCCUUAAGUAAGAAUGGUUUUGGAAUGUUUUUGGGUGAAAAAAAAAAAGUUCAUGGAAAAAUUUGGGUUUUUCAUGGAUGUUCUUCAUUGUUCUUGAUGUUCUUGCCAAGAACAAAAAGGUUUGGUGUUUUGAUUCAAAGUUUUGAUUUAUUUCAUAAAGUUUAUGAUAUAUGUUUUUCAAAUGAUUUAUCAUGUAUUU
This 223-nucleotide long non-coding RNA is filed under the name Malus domestica (apple). RNAcentral's name for it is "long non-coding RNA (MDOM_LNC003007)". Lineage: Eukaryota; Viridiplantae; Streptophyta; Magnoliopsida; Rosales; Rosaceae. The record is from RNAcentral.